CGAACGCUGGCGGCGUGCUUAACACAUGCACGUCGAACGGAAAGGCCCUGCUUUUGUGGGGUGCUCGAGUGGCGAACGGGUGAGUAACACGUGAGUAACCUGCCCUUGACUUUGGGAUAACUUCAGGAAACUGGGGCUAAUACCGGAUAGGAGCUCCUGCUGCAUGGUGGGGGUUGGAAAGUUUCGGCGGUUGGGGAUGGACUCGCGGCUUAUCAGCUUGUUGGUGGGGUAGUGGCUUACCAAGGCUUUGACGGGUAGCCGGCCUGAGAGGGUGACCGGCCACAUUGGGACUGAGAUACGGCCCAGACUCCUACGGGAGGCAGCAGUGGGGAAUAUUGCACAAUGGGCGGAAGCCUGAUGCAGCAGCGCCGCGUGCGGGAUGACGGCCUUCGGGUUGUAAACCGCUUUCGCCUGUGACGAAGCGUGAGUGACGGUAAUGGGUAAAGAAGCACCGGCUAACUACGUG
This 466-nucleotide ribosomal RNA is filed under the name uncultured bacterium. Its description in RNAcentral is "partial 16S ribosomal RNA". It matches the Rfam family "Bacterial small subunit ribosomal RNA", at positions 30 to 507 of the family's 1533-position model. The record is from RNAcentral.